RNAcentral lists this ribosomal RNA (468 nucleotides) under uncultured bacterium. Its description in RNAcentral is "partial 16S ribosomal RNA". It matches the Rfam family "Bacterial small subunit ribosomal RNA", at positions 28 to 507 of the family's 1533-position model. The record is from RNAcentral.
GACGAACGCUGGCGGCGUGCUUAACACAUGCAAGUCGAACGGAAAGGCCCUGCUUUUGUGGGGUGCUCGAGUGGCGAACGGGUGAGUAACACGUGAGUAACCUGGCCUUGACUUUGGGAUAACUUCAGGAAACUGGGGCUAAUACCGGAUAGGAGCUCCUGCUGCAUGGUGGUGGUUGGAAAGUUUCGGCGGUUGGGGAUGGACUCGCGGCUUAUCAGCUUGUUGGUGGGGUAGUGGCUUACCAAGGCUUUGACGGGUAGCCGGCCUGAGAGGGUGACCGGCCACAUUGGGACUGAGAUACGGCCCAGACUCCUACGGGAGGCAGCAGUGGGGAAUAUUGCACAAUGGGCGGAAGCCUGAUGCAGCAACGCCGCGUGCGGGAUGACGGCCUUCGGGUUGUAAACCGCUUUCGCCUGUGACGAAGCGUGAGUGACGGUAAUGGGUAAAGAAGCACCGGCUAACUACGUG